Molecule: ribosomal RNA, 253 nt
Filed under: uncultured bacterium
Lineage: Bacteria
Description: partial 16S ribosomal RNA
Rfam family: Bacterial small subunit ribosomal RNA
Source: RNAcentral
UACGGAGGGUGCAAGCGUUAUCCGGAAUCACUGGGUUUAAAGGGCGCGUAGGCGGCAUCGUAAGUCAGAAGUGAAAGUUUGCGGCUUAACCGUAAAAUUGCUUUUGAUACUGCAAUGCUUGAAUCAGGUUGAGGUUGGCGGAAUGUGGCAUGUAGCGGUGAAAUGCUUAGAUAUGCCAUAGAACACCGAUUGCGAAGGCAGCUGACUGGACCUGUAUUGACGCUGAGGCGCGAAAGCGUGGGGAGCGAACAGG